RNAcentral lists this ribosomal RNA (327 nucleotides) under Triticum aestivum (bread wheat). Its description in RNAcentral is "partial small subunit ribosomal RNA". Lineage: Eukaryota; Viridiplantae; Streptophyta; Magnoliopsida; Poales; Poaceae. The record is from RNAcentral.
AUGGGAGAGCAAGUUGCAUCAGGGGGAGAGUCCGAUACAAUUGAUGAAGAUCACAUAGAUUCGAUGCUGGCCUCCUUGAACAUGUGCAUUCCCCGGAUUGCGUGGACUGGAGCAAUGAUGGUGGUUGGGAGUGGCAGGCCUGGAGACGACGUGGACGAAGAUCCUCCGUGCAAUGGUGUGAUACUGCUUGGCUGGCAUAGUGAAGACCGUGAAGCAGAAGCUGAGUCUAGCAGCGAAGGUGUCCGUGCUAACCAGAAGCGGAAAAUCCUGUCGCCGCUUUGUGGAUGUGGUUACAAACUGUCGGCCUGGACUGUUUCAUCGAGAUGA